RNAcentral lists this ribosomal RNA (253 nucleotides) under uncultured bacterium. RNAcentral describes it as "partial 16S ribosomal RNA". It matches the Rfam family "Bacterial small subunit ribosomal RNA", at positions 524 to 776 of the family's 1533-position model. The record is from RNAcentral.
UACGAAGGGGGCUAGCGUUGUUCGGAAUUACUGGGCGUAAAGCGCGCGCAGGCGGUCUUCCAAGUCAGUGGUGAAAGCCCGGAGCUCAACUCCGGAACUGCCAUUGAAACUGUAAGACUUGAGGAUGAGAGAGGUGAGUGGAAUUCCCAGUGUAGAGGUGAAAUUCGUAGAUAUUGGGAGGAACACCAGUGGCGAAGGCGGCUCGCUGGACCGGUUCUGACGCUGAGGCGCGAAAGCGUGGGGAGCAAACGGG